Molecule: transfer RNA, 69 nt
Filed under: Ovis aries (sheep)
Lineage: Eukaryota; Metazoa; Chordata; Mammalia; Artiodactyla; Bovidae
Rfam family: tRNA
About the family: Transfer RNA (tRNA) molecules are approximately 80 nucleotides in length. Their secondary structure includes four short double-helical elements and three loops (D, anti-codon, and T loops).
Source: Rfam by way of RNAcentral
CCUGGUGGCUCAGAGGGUAAAGCGUCUGCCUGCAAUGCAGGAGACCUAGGUUCGAUCCCUGGGUCAGGA